Molecule: ribosomal RNA, 155 nt
Filed under: uncultured bacterium
Lineage: Bacteria
Description: partial 16S ribosomal RNA
Rfam family: Bacterial small subunit ribosomal RNA
Source: RNAcentral
UGAGGAAUAUUGGUCAAUGGGCGCAAGCCUGAACCAGCCAUGCCGCGUGCAGGAAGACGGUCCUAUGGAUUGUAAACUGCUUUUAUUAGGGAAUAAACCUCUUUACGUGUAGAGAGCUGAAGGUACCUAAUGAAUAAGCACCGGCUAACUCCGUG